CGCGACUUUCCUCGGAAAUUUAAAGUCAUCCACAAAGCGUUCUUCAGCAUUAAAGACACGGUCAAGUGAAAGGAACGCGAAGACGUCUCUUGUGGCGUCCUCCGGCGCGGCGUCUUCGAGCGCCUAGCAAUCACGCGAGACGCUCAUACAGACGAACCUUGGAGUUACAAUAGACAGAGGGAAUUCUCUUUCAUAAAUUUAGUGAUGAAUAUUUUUCACUUAUUUUGGGAAACUUUAUUACAUAUUUCAGAGCUGAAAGUCAAAGAUACAAGAGCUUCUCGUUGCCAACAUGUUGCAAAAGCAAAUCACAUGUGGUAACAACAUAGGGUAUUUCCAAACCACAGUAGAAUCAUGAUUAUUGCAUAGGAGUCCCAUUCAUCUUACAGUGUUGACAAGUGGAGGGAGCUAAGCAACAAGUAUGGCUGGAAACGAUGAUACACUACGUAGAGCUACUAUCCAUUGGAUUGGUUGACUUGACUAUCGCAGAAAUUUUCAGGACUUCCGGCAAUAAGCGAGGUUCUAAUACAAGUGAAAAGUGCCACAAGUGGAGAUCAUUAUAAAAUUAAUCUGCGUA
Long non-coding RNA from Hylaeus anthracinus, 574 nucleotides. RefSeq lists it as uncharacterized. The transcript has 3 exons. The record is from RefSeq and is a predicted model, not a curated record. Lineage: Eukaryota; Metazoa; Arthropoda; Insecta; Hymenoptera; Colletidae.